UACGAAGGGGGCUAGCGUUGUUCGGAAUUACUGGGCGUAAAGCGUGCGCAGGCGGCUUCCCAAGUCAGGAGUGAAAGCCCAGAGCUCAACUCUGGAAUUGCCUUUGAGACUGAGUGGCUUGAGUACGGGAGAGGUGAGUGGAAUUCCCAGUGUAGAGGUGAAAUUCGUAGAUAUUGGGAAGAACACCGGUGGCGAAGGCGGCUCACUGGCCCGUAACUGACGCUCAUGCACGACAGCGUGGGGAUCAAACAGG
This 253-nucleotide ribosomal RNA is filed under the name uncultured bacterium. RNAcentral's name for it is "partial 16S ribosomal RNA". It matches the Rfam family "Bacterial small subunit ribosomal RNA", at positions 524 to 776 of the family's 1533-position model. The record is from RNAcentral.